This 295-nucleotide long non-coding RNA is filed under the name Mytilus galloprovincialis (Mediterranean mussel). The record is from RNAcentral. Lineage: Eukaryota; Metazoa; Mollusca; Bivalvia; Mytilida; Mytilidae.
CAAUUGUAGAUAUGUAAAGAUGAUUAUUUUUUCAUCCUAGUCUUAAAAUAGAAUUAGUUUGCAGGAAUCAAUAUGAAGUCCUCGUCUACCCUGUCAACCCCUCAAAACAGUAUACUUCAAACACAAUCACAUCCGUAGUAAUUAUUAGUAGGGGAAUUAAGCGUGUGGAGACAAUGAUAAUCAAAACCAAGGAGUAAACAAAGACUCAAAAAACCAAAAGACAUUUACAUUAAUAGUUACAAAUAAUAAAUAAGAAACAACACGAACUCCACUAGAAACCGGGAGUGAAAUUAGG